GAUGAACGCUGGCGGCGUGCCUAAUACAUGCAAGUCGAGCGAACAGACGAGGAGCUUGCUCCUCUGACGUUAGCGGCGGACGGGUGAGUAACACGUGGAUAACCUACCUAUAAGACUUGGAUAACUUCGGGAAACCGGAGCUAAUACCGGAUAAUAUAUUGAACCGCAUGGUUCAAUAGUGAAAGACGGUUUUGCUGUCACUUAUAGAUGGAUCCGCGCCGCAUUAGCUAGUUGGUAAGGUAACGGCUUACCAAGGCAACGAUGCGUAGCCGACCUGAGAGGGUGAUCGGCCACACUGGAACUGAGACACGGUCCAGACUCCUACGGGAGGCAGCAGUAGGGAAUCUUCCGCAAUGGGCGAAAGCCUGACGGAGCAACGCCGCGUGAGUGAUGAAGGUCUUCGGAUCGUAAAACUCUGUUAUUAGGGAAGAAAAAAUGUGUAAGUAACUAUGCACGUCUUGACGGUACCUAAUCAGAAAGCCACGGCUAACUACGUG
RNAcentral lists this ribosomal RNA (497 nucleotides) under uncultured bacterium. RNAcentral describes it as "partial 16S ribosomal RNA". It matches the Rfam family "Bacterial small subunit ribosomal RNA", at positions 28 to 507 of the family's 1533-position model. The record is from RNAcentral.